GUGCUCACUUCAGCAGCACAUAUACUAAAAAGUUGGAAUGAUACCAAGAAGAUUAGCAUGGUCCCUAUGCAAGGAUGAUAGCAAAUUCAUGAAAUGUUCCAUAUUUUU
Nycticebus coucang (slow loris) is the source of this 108-nucleotide small nuclear RNA. The record is from RefSeq and is a predicted model, not a curated record. Lineage: Eukaryota; Metazoa; Chordata; Mammalia; Primates; Lorisidae.